This 253-nucleotide ribosomal RNA is filed under the name uncultured bacterium. Its description in RNAcentral is "partial 16S ribosomal RNA". It matches the Rfam family "Bacterial small subunit ribosomal RNA", at positions 524 to 776 of the family's 1533-position model. The record is from RNAcentral.
UACGAGGGGGGCAAAUGUUGUUCGGAAUCACUGGGCGUAAAGGGAGCGUAGGCGGGCCAGUAAGCGUCUUGUGAAAUCCCCCGGCUCAACCGGGGAACUGCGGGGCGAACUGCUGGUCUUGAGGAAGCUAGAGGCCGGUAGAACGAUUGGUGGAGCGGUGGAAUGCGUAGAUAUCAAUCGGAAUGCCGAAAGUGAAGACAGCCGGCUGGGGCUUUCCUGACGCUGAGGCACGAAAGCGUGGGGAGCAAACGGG